Molecule: non-coding RNA, 18 nt
Filed under: Arabidopsis thaliana (thale cress)
Lineage: Eukaryota; Viridiplantae; Streptophyta; Magnoliopsida; Brassicales; Brassicaceae
Source: RNAcentral
GGAGACGGAGUGUGGGCG